Molecule: ribosomal RNA, 403 nt
Filed under: uncultured bacterium
Lineage: Bacteria
Description: partial 16S ribosomal RNA
Rfam family: Bacterial small subunit ribosomal RNA
Source: RNAcentral
GACGAACGCUGGCGGCGUGCCUAAUACAUGCAAGUCGAACGCAGUGGGGACGGGUGAGUAACACGUGGGUAACCUCCCAUCAGAGGGGAUAACACUUGGAAACAGGUGCUAAACCGAUACUGAGGGAUGAAGCAGGGGGGCAUUAGCUAGUUGGUGCGGUAACUGCUCACCAAGUCGACGAUGCAUAGCCGCCCGGAUAGGGUGAAAGGCCACACUGGGACUGAGACACGGCCCAGACUCCUACGGGAGGCAGCAGUAGGGAAUAUUCGGCAAUGGACGAAAGUCGGACAGAGCAACGCCGCGUGAGGGAAGAAGGUUUUCGGAUCGUAAAGCUCUGUUGUUAGAGAAGCGGUAUCUAACCAGAAAGCCACGGCUAACUACGUGCCAGCAGCCGCGGUAAUAC